This is a long non-coding RNA of Strigops habroptila (Kakapo), 617 nucleotides long. RefSeq lists it as uncharacterized. Lineage: Eukaryota; Metazoa; Chordata; Aves; Psittaciformes; Psittacidae. The transcript has 4 exons. The record is from RefSeq and is a predicted model, not a curated record.
GGUGGAAUCAGGGAGCCCCUCGUGCGGCGGUUGCACGGGGAGGGCGGCGGCGGCCGGCGCGGGGCGAGGGGUCCCGGUGCGCCCCCGCCCAUCCCGCAGGCGAGACUGAGGGAGGCGGUGCCGCUGCCCCUGCCUCUGCCCGGGCGCGCACAGGUGCGUCGGCAGCGGCGGGAGCGCAGCGCCCUCCUCCCGGCGGCACCCGGCGGGGGAUGUGCCGGCCGCCGGGGGCGCGCCGCCCGUGGGAAGCGCGCUCCUAACGCCACCUGGGCGCCGCGGGGAGCGCCCGGCUCAGCUCAGCUCGGCGCGGCGCGGGCGGCGCAGGGUCACCAGGAACCGGGCAGAUCUUGACGGUUAUGGCCGAAUCUUUCAUCAGCCUAUGGUAUAAUGGGCUACCCAUUGGAUGAUUUACAGUCAUCUGAAACAUAAUACAUACUCCUCUUCCUUGUCCAUGCCUACAUGCUGACACACUAUCAGUUCUGUUUCCAAAAGAGGAGUUCACAGAACUGCACAGUGCCUGAUGCAACUAGCCGCUUUGAUGUUCCUCACUGGACCAUGCCCUGAGGCUAGAAGAGUUGGCUCAAAGCAGAAGCACGUACUGGUGAGCACAAUUAUUCCCA